RNAcentral lists this ribosomal RNA (477 nucleotides) under uncultured bacterium. RNAcentral's name for it is "partial 16S ribosomal RNA". It matches the Rfam family "Bacterial small subunit ribosomal RNA", at positions 28 to 507 of the family's 1533-position model. The record is from RNAcentral.
GAUUAACGCUGGCGGCGUGCAUAACACAUGCAAGUCGAACGAUGAAACUUAACUGAUUUCUUCGGAAUGAUUUUAAGUGGAUUAGUGGCGGACGGGUGAGUAACGCGUGAGUAACCUGCCUUGGAGAAGGGGAUAGCCUUUGGAAACGAAGAAUAAUACCCUAUGAUAUGAUAAUAUCUCAUGAUAUUAUCAUCAAAGAUUUAUCGCUCUAAGAUGGACUUGCGUCUGAUUAGUUAGUUGGUGAGGUAACAGCUCACCAAGGCAGCGAUCAGUAGCCGGCUUGAGAGAGUGUACGGCCACAUUGGGACUGAGACACGGCCCAGACUCCUACGGGAGGCAGCAGUGGGGAAUUUUGCACAAUGGGGGAAACCCUGAUGCAGCGACGCCGCGUGAUUUAGAAGGUCUUCGGGUUGUAAAAAUCUUUUGUAUGGGGAGAAAAUGACAGUACCAUACGAAUAAGGACCGGCUAACUACGUG